RNAcentral lists this ribosomal RNA (484 nucleotides) under uncultured bacterium. RNAcentral describes it as "partial 16S ribosomal RNA". It matches the Rfam family "Bacterial small subunit ribosomal RNA", at positions 30 to 507 of the family's 1533-position model. The record is from RNAcentral.
AUUGAACGCUGGCGGCAGGCCUAACACAUGCCAGUCGAGCGGAUGAAGGGAGCUUGCUCCUGGAUUCAGCGGCGGACGGGUGAGUAAUGCCUAGGAAUCUGCCUGGUAGUGGGGGAUAACGUCCGGAAACGGGCGCUAAUACCGCAUACGUCCUGAGGGAGAAAGUGGGGGAUCUUCGGACCUCACGCUCUCAGAUGAGCCUAGGUCGGAUUAGCUAGUUGGUGGGGUAAGGGCCUACCAAGGCGACGAUCCGUAACUGGUCUGAGAGGAUGAUCAGUCACACUGGAACUGAGACACGGUCCAGACUCCUACGGGAGGCAGCAGUGGGGAAUAUUGGACAAUGGGCGAAAGCCUGAUCCAGCCAUGCCGCGUGUGUGAAGAAGGUCUUCGGAUUGUAAAGCACUUUAAGUUGGGAGGAAGGGCAGUAAGUUAAUACCUUGCUGUUUUGACGUUACCAACAGAAUAAGCACCGGCUAACUUCGUG